This 878-nucleotide ribosomal RNA is filed under the name uncultured Macrococcus sp. RNAcentral's name for it is "bacterial SSU rRNA". It matches the Rfam family "Bacterial small subunit ribosomal RNA", at positions 44 to 901 of the family's 1533-position model. Lineage: Bacteria; Bacillati; Bacillota; Bacilli; Caryophanales; Staphylococcaceae. The record is from RNAcentral.
GUGCCUAAUACAUGCAAGUCGAGCGAACGGACGAGAGUGCUUGCACUCUCUGAUGUUAGCGGCGGACGGGUGAGUAACACGUGGGUAACCUACCUAUAAGACUGGGAUAACUUCGGGAAACCGGAGCUAAUACCGGAUAAUAUUUAGCUUCGCAUGAAGCAAUAGUGAAAGACGGUUCUGCUGUCACUUAUAGAUGGACCCGCGGUGUAUUAGCUAGUUGGUGAGGUAACGGCUCACCAAGGCAACGAUACAUAGCCGACCUGAGAGGGUGAUCGGCCACACUGGGACUGAGACACGGCCCAGACUCCUACGGGAGGCAGCAGUAGGGAAUCUUCCGCAAUGGACGAAAGUCUGACGGAGCAACGCCGCGUGAGUGAAGAAGGUUUUCGGAUCGUAAAACUCUGUUGUAAGGGAAGAACAAGUACGUUAGUAACUGAACGUACCUUGACGGUACCUUACCAGAAAGCCACGGCUAACUACGUGCCAGCAGCCGCGGUAAUACGUAGGUGGCAAGCGUUAUCCGGAAUUAUUGGGCGUAAAGCGCGCGUAGGCGGUCUCUUAAGUCUGAUGUGAAAGCCCCCGGCUCAACCGGGGAGGGUCAUUGGAAACUGGGAGACUUGAGUGCAGAAGAGGAGAGUGGAAUUCCAUGUGUAGCGGUGAAAUGCGCAGAGAUAUGGAGGAACACCAGUGGCGAAGGCGGCUCUCUGGUCUGUAACUGACGCUGAGGUGCGAAAGCGUGGGGAUCAAACAGGAUUAGAUACCCUGGUAGUCCACGCCGUAAACGAUGAGUGCUAAGUGUUGGGGGGUUUCCGCCCCUCAGUGCUGCAGCUAACGCAUUAAGCACUCCGCCUGGGGGGUACGGUCGCAAGACUGAAACU